RNAcentral lists this unclassified non-coding RNA (1406 nucleotides) under Hevea brasiliensis (rubber tree). The record is from RNAcentral. Lineage: Eukaryota; Viridiplantae; Streptophyta; Magnoliopsida; Malpighiales; Euphorbiaceae.
ACAUAAAGAAAGAAAAUCAACUUUUUUUUAUCAAUUUCAUUUUGAAAAUAGACUUCGUGUGCAUUUCAUUUGUGAAAUGGAUUUUCCAUCGGUGUUUUGUUGAAAAAGGCGAAAGAAAAAGGGAUUUCUGUGAAGGUUUGAUCUGUUAGGGUUUGGUUUUUUUGGGGCGUUGUUGAUUUGAUUGUUGAUUAUUGAGAGGGACAUGGAUAAGAAGAAGUUGGCAGUGCCUUUAGUUUGCCACGGGCAUUCGCGUCCUGUUGUGGAUUUGUUCUACAGUCCUGUUACUCCUGAUGGCUUUUUUCUCAUAAGUGCCAGCAAAGAUUCUAGCCCAAUGUUGAGAAAUGGAGAGACCGGAGAUUGGAUUGGGACCUUUGAAGGACAUAAAGGUGCAGUGUGGAGUUGUUGCCUUGAUACUAAUGCAUUGCGAGCAGCAUCUGCAUCUGCAGAUUUUACAGCGAAAUUGUGGGAUGCUUUGACUGGGGAUGAAUUACACUCUUUUGAGCAUAAGCACAUUGUUAGGGCUUGUGCCUUUUCAGAGGAUACACAUCUUCUACUUACUGGCGGAGUGGAGAAAAUUCUUCGUAUAUUUGACUUGAAUCGUCAGGAUGCACCCCCAAGAGAAGUUGACAGUUCACCUGGUUCUAUUAGAACUGUUGCAUGGCUUCACAGCGACCAGACCAUAUUAAGUUCUUGUACUGACAUGGGUGGUGUGAGGUUAUGGGACAUACGAAGUGGAAAAAUUGUUCAAACUCUUGACACGAAGUCACCUGUAACUAGCGCUGAAGUUAGUCAGGAUGGUCGAUAUAUAACUACUGCUGAUGGGUCUACAGUUAAAUUUUGGGAUGCAAAUCACUUUGGGCUGGUGAAGAGCUACAAUAUGCCAUGCAAUGUGGAAUCAGCUUCAUUGGAACCAAAACUUGGUAAUAAAUUUGUCGCAGGUGGAGAAGAUAUGUGGAUCCAUGUAUUUGAUUUCAAUACAGGAGAACAGAUUGGGUGCAACAAGGGUCACCAUGGUCCUGUUCAUUGUGUGCGGUUCUCCCCUGGAGGUGAAUCUUAUGCUUCAGGGUCUGAAGAUGGAACUAUCAGAAUCUGGCAAACAGGGCCCGCAAAUCUCGAGGAGAAUGAUUCACUCUCCAGAAAUGGGCCAACUGGAAAAGUGAAGGCAUUAGCUGAUGAUGUAGCCCAUAAGAUCGAAAGCUUUCAUAUAAGCAAAGAAGGGAAAGCUUCUGAGAAGGACAAGGCAACAGAUGCCUGACUAGGGCUUUAAAGUUUAGAUUGUCUAUGGGAUUCAACCUGUUUGUUUUGGUAUUUGCUCGAGUGUUAAGUUGUUGGCAUGUUCAUGUGACUUAUUGAGGGUUGUUCUUCUGUGAAAAUAAAUUGACUUAUAAAGCAAAUCAAGAUCAGAC